GGAGGAAAAGAAACUAACAAGGAUUCCCCUAGUAACGGCGAGUGAAGCGGGAUGAGCUCAAGCUUAAAAUCUCCGUACAAGUUUUGUACGGCGAAUUGUAGUCUAUAGAGGCGUGGUCAGCGUGAGCGCUUGGGGCAAGUUCCUUGGAAGAGGACAGCAUGGAGGGUGAUACUCCCGUUCAUCCCUGAGUGGCUCGUGCGUACGACCCGUUUUCUUUGAGUCGCGUUGUUUGGGAAUGCAGCGCAAAGUAGGUGGUAAAUUCCAUCUAAAGCUAAAUAUUGGUGCGAGACCGAUAGCGAACAAGUACCGUGAGGGAAAGAUGAAAAGAACUUUGAAAAGAGAGUUAAAGAGUACCUGAAACUGCUGAAAGGGAACCGAAUCGUUUUCAGUGUCUAUAAUCCGUGGCAUAUUUCAUUGGCGAGUGUAUGCGUGCGUGUGCUGUGGCAGCGGCCUUUUGGCUGCGCUUGGCGCGUGUGGUGUGUGUGCUUGCUGGUGCCCUGUGCUGCGGUGGGACGUCAAUGUCAGUUCGUAUGCUGCGGGAAAUGGCUGCCGAGGAGGUAGGGCUGACGCUUGCGUUUGUCUGUUAUAUCUUGGUGGACGAGUCGUCGCGGUUGGGACUGAGGUGCCUACAACGUGCUUUUGAGUGGGUUUGUGUCUCCGUGUGUGCCGUGUGCGGAUAGCUUGCUAUGCGUGUGUGGUUAUGUGUGGAUUGAUACGGGCUUCAACUUGUUGCCGUUCGGGACGUUGACGAAAUGGAGCGAUCCGACCCGUCUUGAAACACGGACCAAGGAGUCUAACAUGUGUGCAAGUGUUAGGGUGUGGAAACCCCAGCGCGAAAUGAAAGUAAAGGGCAGCGCAAGCUGUCUGAGGUAGGAAACGUUGCGGGCUUCGGUCUGCGGCGUGGCACUAUCGACCAAUCAUGAACCUUCGUGGUGAAAGAUUUGAGUUUGAGCACAUAUGUUGGUACCCGAAAGAUGGUGAACUAUGCCUGAGUAGGGUGAAGCCAGGGGAAACUCUGGUGGAAGCUCGUAGCGAUUCUGACGUGCAAAUCGAUCGUCAAACUUGGGUAUAGGGGCGAAAGACUAAUCGAACCAUCUAGUAGCUGGUUCCCUCCGAAAUUUCCCUCAGGAUAGCAGCAACUUAUUUACGAUAGUUUUAUGAGGUAAAGCGAAUGAUUAGAGGAUUCGGGGAAGAAACUUCCUCGACCUAUUCUCAAACUUUAAAUCUGUAAGACCUGCAGGUUUCUUAAUUGAACUUGUGGAUG
This 1264-nucleotide ribosomal RNA is filed under the name Peronospora chrysosplenii. RNAcentral's name for it is "eukaryotic LSU rRNA". It matches the Rfam family "Eukaryotic large subunit ribosomal RNA", at positions 52 to 1109 of the family's 3401-position model. Lineage: Eukaryota; Oomycota; Peronosporomycetes; Peronosporales; Peronosporaceae. The record is from RNAcentral.